GGGGGCGAACUGGGUUCGACGGGAAGGAAAGUGGCAUCGGUGGCGGGUCGGGUGCACCGAUGUCGCCGCCUUCUCGGACGCGGGUUCAAUUCCCGCCGCCUCCACCA
Molecule: transfer-messenger RNA, 107 nt
Filed under: Candidatus Caldarchaeales archaeon
Lineage: Archaea; Thermoproteati; Nitrososphaerota; Candidatus Caldarchaeales
Rfam family: transfer-messenger RNA
About the family: Bacterial tmRNA, also known as 10Sa RNA or SsrA, is named for its dual tRNA and mRNA-like properties. Its role is to liberate the mRNA from a stalled ribosome.
Source: RNAcentral